Molecule: long non-coding RNA, 1375 nt
Filed under: Piliocolobus tephrosceles (Ugandan red Colobus)
Lineage: Eukaryota; Metazoa; Chordata; Mammalia; Primates; Cercopithecidae
Description: lncRNA (ENSPTEG00000007692.1)
Source: RNAcentral
UUUAUGUUUUUUUUGAAUAUAUGUUUAACAUUUUAAAAUAAAUGAUUUUUUUUUUUUUUUUUUUUUUUUUUUUUAAAUAACAUACUUUUAACGAAAAAAAAAAAAAUAAAAUGAAUAAAAAAUCGAAGAAACAUACAAGUGUAUGGAUACAAAACAAAAUUGUAACAUACGGACACUUGUAUAUAUAAAAAAAUGCAGUAUACGGAUGCUUAAGCACAUAAAAAGUCUAACAUACAGACAUAAAUGAGGGGGGAGGGGGAAAAAAUUACUCUUUUUUUUUUCAGCUUAAUUAUGUUCCAUUUCCUUUUUGAAAAAUGUAACUUCUUUUUAUUAAUUAUAUUUACUAAAAUUAAUUAUUUGAUAUUUGGUAUAUGAUUUUUUUUAUUUUUUAUUUUUAUGUUUUGUUCAAUAGUAAACGUAUAUGUAUAAGUACACGUAUACGUAUACGGAUAUAUUAACAUUCGAUGGCUUGUUUCAUUUUGUUACUUAAUUUUAUUUAAAUUUUUUUUUUUUUAUUUAUUUAUUUAUUUUUUUAUUUAUUUUUUUUUUUUUUUAAACGCUAUUAAAGCUAAAAAUGUACACACUUUUUUUCCCUUUUCUAAUAACAAUAUUGACACAUUAUUCAACUACCUAUUCAAUUUGAUUAAGUUCUUUUCUUUACACAUGUAUAUGUAUUUGUGUGUAUGUAUAUAUAUAUAUAUAUAUAUUUUUUUUUACGCUCUUAGAGCUAUUCUAAUGUAAAUAAAGUUGGCAUACAUCCAAAAAAAAAAAAAAAAAAAAAAAAAAAUGGAAAGCAAUUCUAUUGUACAAAAAAGCAUAUUAAAAACUACAAAUGGUUAGUAUAGAAUAAAAAAAAAAAAAAGGGAAAUAUGUACUAUGCUUCUAUUAUUAACAUUUUAACAUUUUAACAUUUUAACAUUUUAACAUAUAUGUACAUAUGUGCAACUAUACCUAACAAGAGUCACAAUUAUUAUUUUUUUUUUUUUUUUUACCUUUUUAUAGAUAAACAAGAUGGUAAAUCAUCAAGUAGUUAUACAAAAAACUUUUAUAAAAGUUUAAAUAACUACGUACGAGAAUUUGAUAGUAUUGAAAAAAAAGAAAAUAAGAAUGAUGAAUUAAUUAAUGAAGUGUACGACAAACAGAACACACCAACAGUUCAACUAUUUAAUACAAGUUCUAAAGGUGGAAAUCGUUCAAGAUUGUUCGACAACCAGUGGAAAAAGUACAAUUAUAAUUAUAAAAAAUGGAAACGAAAGAAUAAACUAUGAUUAUAUAAAUGCCACCAAUGAAUACUAUAAACCAACAAACGUUGAAGAGAAAGUAACAAACACAGGAAUAACUAAUAAAACCUUUUUUCAGAUAAUAAUGUGUUGCA